GACGAACGCUGGCGGCGUGCCUAAUACAUGCAAGUUGAGCGCUGAAGGCUGGUGCUUGUACCAACUGGAUGAGCAGCGAACGGGUGAGUAACGCGUGGGGAAUCUGCCUUUGAGCGGGGGACAACAUUUGGAAACGAAUGCUAAUACCGCAUAAAAACUUUAAACACAAGUUUUAAGUUUGAAAGAUGCAAUUGCAUCACUCAAAGAUGAUCCCGCGUUGUAUUAGCUAGUUGGUGAGGUAAAGGCUCACCAAGGCGAUGAUACAUAGCCGACCUGAGAGGGUGAUCGGCCACAUUGGGACUGAGACACGGCCCAAACUCCUACGGGAGGCAGCAGUAGGGAAUCUUCGGCAAUGGACGAAAGUCUGACCGAGCAAAGCCGCGUGAGUGAAGAAGGUUUUCGGAUCGGAAAACUCUGUUGGUAGAGAAGAACGUUGGUGAGAGUGGAAAGCGCAUCAAGUGACGGUAACUACCCAGAAAGGGACGGCUAACUACGUG
This 497-nucleotide ribosomal RNA is filed under the name uncultured bacterium. RNAcentral describes it as "partial 16S ribosomal RNA". It matches the Rfam family "Bacterial small subunit ribosomal RNA", at positions 28 to 507 of the family's 1533-position model. The record is from RNAcentral.